AUGCUAGUUGUGCGGGUUUAGACCCGCAGCGGAAGCUCAGUAACACGUGGCCAAACUACCCUGUGGAUGGGAACAAUCUCGGGAAACUGAGGCUAAUUCCCAAUAACGCUCCACCCCUGGAACGGGCGGAGCUGGAAACGCUACGGCGCCACAGGAUGUGGCUGCGGUCGAUUAGGUAGACGGUGGGGUAACGGCCCACCGUGCCAAUAAUCGGUACGGGUUGUGAGAGCAAGAGCCCGGAGACGGAAUCUGAGACAAGAUUCCGGGCCCUACGGGGCGCAGCAGGCGCGAAACCUUUACACUGUACGCAAGUGCGAUAAGGGGACUCCGAGUGUGAAGGCAUAGAGCCUUCACUUUUGUACACCGUAAGGUGGUGUACGAAUAAGGGCUGGGCAAGACCGGUGCCAGCCGCCGCGGUAAUACCGGCAGCCCGAGUGAUGGCCGAUAUUAUUGGGCCUAAAGCGUCCGUAGCUGGCCGGACAAGUCCGUUGGGAAAUCUGUUCGCUUAACGAGCAGGCGUCCAGCGGAAACUGUUCGGCUUGGGACCGGAAGACCUGAGGGGUACGUCCGGGGUAGGAGUGAAAUCCUGUAAUCCUGGACGGACCACCGGUGGCGAAAGCGCCUCAGGAGGACGGAUCCGACAGUGAGGGACGAAAGCUAGGGUCUCGAACCGGAUUAGAUACCCGGGUAGUCCUAGCUGUAAACGAUGCCCGCUAGGUGUGGCGCAGGCUACGAGCCUGCGCUGUGCCGUAGGGAAGCCGAGAAGCGGGCCGCCUGGGAAGUACGUCUGCAAGGAUGAAACUUAAAGGAAUUGGCGGGGGAGCACUACAACCGGAGGAGCCUGCGGUUUAAUUGGACUCAACGCCGGACAUCUCACCAGCUCCGACAGUAGUAAUGACGGUCAGGUUGAUGACCUUACCCGAUGCUACU
RNAcentral lists this ribosomal RNA (930 nucleotides) under Halobacterium sp. RNAcentral describes it as "bacterial SSU rRNA". It matches the Rfam family "Archaeal small subunit ribosomal RNA", at positions 51 to 981 of the family's 1478-position model. The record is from RNAcentral. Lineage: Archaea; Methanobacteriati; Methanobacteriota; Halobacteria; Halobacteriales; Halobacteriaceae.